Molecule: ribosomal RNA, 495 nt
Filed under: uncultured bacterium
Lineage: Bacteria
Description: partial 16S ribosomal RNA
Rfam family: Bacterial small subunit ribosomal RNA
Source: RNAcentral
GACGAACGCUGGCGGCGUGCCUAAUACAUGCAAGUCGAACGCUGAAGGAGGAGCUUGCUUCUCUGGAUGAGUUGCGAACGGGUGAGUAACGCGUAGGUAACCUGCCUGGUAGCGGGGGAUAACUAUUGGAAACGAUAGCUAAUACCGCAUAAUAGUAGAUGUUGCAUGACAUUUACUUAAAAGGUGCAAUUGCAUCACUACCAGAUGGACCUGCGUUGUAUUAGCUAGUUGGUGGGGUAACGGCUCACCAAGGCGACGAUACAUAGCCGACCUGAGAGGGGGAUCGGCCACACUGGGACUGAGACACGGCCCAGACUCCUACGGGAGGCAGCAGUAGGGAAUCUUCGGCAAUGGACGAAAGUCUGACCGAGCAACGCCGCGUGAGUGAAGAAGGGUGUCGGAUCGUAAAGCUCUGUUGUAAGAGAAGAACGAGUGUGAGAGUGGAAAGUUCACACUGUGACGGUAUCUUACCAGAAAGGGACGGCUAACUACGUG